Molecule: ribosomal RNA, 535 nt
Filed under: Stenotrophomonas sp. APH5
Lineage: Bacteria; Pseudomonadati; Pseudomonadota; Gammaproteobacteria; Lysobacterales; Lysobacteraceae
Description: bacterial SSU rRNA
Rfam family: Bacterial small subunit ribosomal RNA
Source: RNAcentral
CCUACGGGAGGCAGCAGUGGGGAAUAUUGGACCAUGGGCGCAAACCUGAUCCAACCCUUCCGGGUUGGUGAAGAAAGCUUUCGGGUUGUAAAACCCCUUUAUUGUGAAAGAAAAGCUUCUGGAUUAAUCCUUGGCAUUUUGACGGUACCCAACGAAUAAACCCCGGCUAACUUCUUUCCAGCAACCCCGGUAAUUCCAAGGGUGCCAACGUUUCUUGGAAUUUCUGGGCGUAAAACCUCCGUAAGUGGUUGUUUAAAUUUGUAGGGAAAACCCUGGGCUUCACCUUGGAACUUCCGUGGAAACUGGACAACUUAAAUUUGGUAGAAGGUAUGCGGAAUUCUCGGGGUAACAGUUAAAUUCGUUAAAUUUGGGAGGAACCUCCAUGGCGAAGGCAGCCCCCUGGACCUACUCUUACCCUGAGGCUCGAAAGCGUGGGGAACCAACCGGAUUAAAUUCCCUGGUUGUUCCCCCCCUUAAACGAUUCUCAUCUGGAUGUUGGGUUCCCUUUAGCACUCAGUAUCGCAGCUAACCGCAU